This 253-nucleotide ribosomal RNA is filed under the name uncultured bacterium. RNAcentral's name for it is "partial 16S ribosomal RNA". It matches the Rfam family "Bacterial small subunit ribosomal RNA", at positions 524 to 776 of the family's 1533-position model. The record is from RNAcentral.
UUCGUAGGUGGCAAGCGUUGUUCGGAAUUAUUGGGCGUAAAGAGCGCGUAGGCGGCCGAGUACGUCCGACGUGAAAUCUGGAGGCUCAACCUCCAGCGGUCGUUGGAAACUACUCGGCUAGAGUCCGGAAGAGGAGAGUGGAAUUCCUGGUGUAGCGGUGAAAUGCGCAGAUAUCAGGAAGAACACCGAUGGCGAAAGCAGCUCUCUGGGACGGUACUGACGCUGAGGCGCGAAAGCGUGGGGAGCGAACAGG